GCCGGGUUAGCUCAGUUGGUUAGAGCAUGGUGCUAAUAACACCAAGUUCACAGGUUCAAUCUCUGCUUACUGCA
This is a non-coding RNA of Pelecanus crispus (Dalmatian pelican), 74 nucleotides long. The record is from Rfam. Lineage: Eukaryota; Metazoa; Chordata; Aves; Pelecaniformes; Pelecanidae.